GAAGAAUCUCCCAGAAAGUAUCACAAAAUAGCUAAAUGGAGGGCAGAUAUUUCAUGGAAAUCCCUAAAAAAGAUUUUAAAUAUAUUUUGUAUAAAAAUUUAAAGUUGUUGAUAUACAAAAGAGGAGAAAGAGCUGAUGGAGAUACCCAAGAUUGUUAGGCAGUAAGUGAUUCUGGGAAAGGUAGUGAUAAAGGCAACAGCAGAGACAGCUGUGGUUACACAGCUGUGUGAAUUUCAACAAGCAGUGUAACCUCUUUGACAUUUCUCAACAGUAAAUUCAAGACAAUCGGACAAUCAUUAAGAAGGCUAAAUUAGUUCAAAUAAGAAGCAGCACCUGCCUUAUAGUAAAUGCUCUCUAAGUGUUGGCAAUUAAUAUGACCCAAAUCUCUUUUUCUUUGGAAAACCAAGCUCUUGGGAAAAAAAAAAAAAUCAAAACACAGAUAGGGAUUCUAUGUUCAAAAAUCCACACUUGUAGAUGAGCCUUUACUUAACUUUCAGACCAUUUGUUCUGCUAUGAGUUAAAACAUUCAUUUCGCUGCUCCUUUAAAUUCUUCGUUCUGUCUGUAGUGUUGUGCCUCUCUUCUCCCAAGGCACCGGGGAACACUGUGGAAUUACAAGGAUAACAAACUUGGUGUCUAACUCUAAAGUUAAUUGCAUCACAGGAACAGAUGUAAGAUUUCAAAUGUUACAAGAUCUACAAAAGAGUCAGAUGAUGGCAGGAUUAUAUGUUCUUGAGGUUUAAAAUAGUGAUAACCCAGACUUAGGUUGAAACAAACAGCAACCCCUGUAGCUUCUGUAGAGGAAGUGAGGCCUGCUUUGAUGGGAAUUCUCAUUUGGACAUGCAGGAAACAUGAUGAGUAUUUCUCCUGGGCCUCUACCUGUAAUAGUAGCAACCCUCAGUGGAAAAAAAGGACACUUUUGUGGAAGGGGUAACUUUUCUUCCUUUUUGCUUCUUUCCUCAGGGACAUUCCACUUUCCCAGGCUUUUGUAUGACCUGGUAUGGUUUUUGUGAUUAUGACAGGAUUUUCUGUUCUUAUGCACUGUGUGUAAGUUCCCUGUAAGUCUGAACCAAGCCUAUAAUCUUUCAGUUUUCUGUAAAUCUUGACGCAGGCCCCUCCAAGGCUUUGUGUUUCCAAGUAUUGGAAUUGUGAUUUGAUUGGGAAGAUGUAUGAAUCAGGGCACAUGGCUGCAAGUGACAAAAAGAUCUUCUCAAAACAACUUUAUCAAAAAGAAAUACUUGUUUGCCUACCUACCUGGAAAGUCUGGAAUACAGCUGACUUCAGAUAUAGUGGAGUACAAUAGCUUAAAUGAGAAUUAGAGAUGUCUCUCUGCUUUUCAUCUCUGCUUAUUUCUGUUUGUGUUAGCACAUUGGGCCUCUUUUUCUGGUGAUACAGACAGGCUUCUUCCAUACGACUUGGGAAGAUGGCUAUUAAGCAGCUUAAAUUUAAAUCUUCCUAGAAUUGUGACUCCAAAGGCAAAGAAGGAAGUGCUCCUAAUUUGAACUAAUCUAAUAGUCACAUGGAGGAUUCUGACUGGCCCAUGUGGGGCCUUGUGCUCAUGUUCUAAGGAAUCAUUGUUGCUUGAAGCAUGGACAACUCUGGCCUGACAUGGUCCCUGGCUCGUACCUGUGACAGGACACUGAGGAUGCUGUGGUACCUGGAGUGAUGCCAGACUGCAGAGGCCACCUGGUGACAUGAGGAGAGAUUCAACUUAACAUGACCUCCUGCUGGGACUCUACAGGAACUCAACUGCAGACUAGGAGGCAAAGGAGCCGACGGAUGUAUUCCACACUGAACAGCAUCCUGGGAUCCAGAGGGGUAAACAAGACGUCUGGUACCAUCACUCCUGGCCCCUCAGCAUCUACUUUUCGUUGCAGGAAAAGUUUGUGUCUCCAUCACAGGGGACACAUGAAGUUCCAUCAGCUACCAAAUCAUAACAGGGUAACAUCAGUUGAGUAGCAGCUGUGCCUGAAAUGAAAACAUUAAUGAUCACUGAGUUCUCCACGUAAGGUAGCAGAGGAAAAAAGGAAAAACAAAUAACACCAACAGUAGCUGAUACUAUCCCCAAAUCUGUAGCUGGACACAGAGCAUAAUUUGGUAAGCAGAAUUCCUUUUUCUACCAUACAUCCUAUCUCUAUGUUCUCCUUUCCCUUUGCCAGCACUAUGGUUGGACAGGGAUUCUCUCCUGGUAGGAUAAUCUGAACUUUCAUUUCUCUAAGUCCUACAAUAAAUAAGCAAAUUGAUUCCAGCAUCUUCUUUUGAGCAUCUGUUUCCUGAGGUCAUUUUUGUACUAUUAAUAAAUGUAGCAGGAAAUGUAUGGCAACUCAAAUGAAGAUAAUUCAAGGAGAGGUUAAUAAAAGGACUAUGCACAAAGGUAUUGUACAGGGUAUAAGGAAGUCCUAAGCUAUGAUUUUGGAGUUCCCCAGGCUACUUACAGGGAAACUCCUUGGCCUGAAAGAAAAAGACU
RNAcentral lists this long non-coding RNA (2465 nucleotides) under Homo sapiens (human). RNAcentral describes it as "HSALNT0297224". The record is from RNAcentral. Lineage: Eukaryota; Metazoa; Chordata; Mammalia; Primates; Hominidae.